AAUAGAUACCCUGGUAGUCCACGCCGUAAACGAUGAGUGCUAAGUGUUAGAGGGUUUCCGCCCUUUAGUGCUGCAGCUAACGCAUUAAGCACUCCGCCUGGGGAGUACGGCCGCAAGGCUGAAACUCAAAGGAAUUGACGGGGGCCCGCACAAGCGGUGGAGCAUGUGGUUUAAUUCGAAGCAACGCGAAGAACCUUACCAGGUCUUGACAUCCUCUGCCAACCCUAGAGAUAGGGCGUUCCCCUUCGGGGGACAGAGUGACAGGUGGUGCAUGGUUGUCGUCAGCUCGUGUCGUGAGAUGUUGGGUUAAGUCCCGCAACGAGCGCAACCCUUGAUCUUAGUUGCCAGCAUUCAGUUGGGCACUCUAAGGUGACUGCCGGUGACAAACCGGAGGAAGGUGGGGAUGACGUCAAAUCAUCAUGCCCCUUAUGACCUGGGCUACACACGUGCUACAAUGGAUGGUACAAAGAGCUGCGAACCCGGCGAGGGUAAGCGAAUCUCAUAAAGCCAUUCUCAGUUCGGAUUGU
This 527-nucleotide ribosomal RNA is filed under the name uncultured bacterium. RNAcentral describes it as "bacterial SSU rRNA". It matches the Rfam family "Bacterial small subunit ribosomal RNA", at positions 777 to 1301 of the family's 1533-position model. The record is from RNAcentral.